GAUGAACGCUGGCGAGAUGCCUUACACAUGCAAGUCGUACGAGAGUUUUUAACUCAAGUGGCGGACGGGUGAGUAACACGUAAGAAUUUGCCUUUAGGAGGGGGACAACAACUGGAAACGGUGGCUAAUACCGGAUGAGCCGAAAGGUAAAAGAUUUAUUGCCCACAGAUGAGCUCGCGUCUGAUUAGCUAGUUGGUAAGGUAAAAGCGUACCAAGGCGACGAUCAGUAGCUGGUCUGAGAGGAUGAGCAGCCACACUGGGACUGAGACACGGCCCAGACUCCUACGGGAGGCAGCAGUGGGGAAUUUUCCGCAAUGGGCGAAAGCCUGACGGAGCAAGACCGCGUGGGGGAGGAAGGUUUUUGGAUCGUAAACCCCUUUUGUCAAGGAAGAAGCUCUGACGGUACUUGACGAAUAAGCCUCGGCUAACUCCGUGCCAGCAGCCGCGGUAA
Molecule: ribosomal RNA, 451 nt
Filed under: uncultured bacterium
Lineage: Bacteria
Description: bacterial SSU rRNA
Rfam family: Bacterial small subunit ribosomal RNA
Source: RNAcentral